UACGUAGGGUGCAAGCGUUAAUCGGAAUUACUGGGCGUAAAGCGUGCGCAGGCGGUUGUGCAAGACAGAUGUGAAAUCCCCGGGCUCAACCUGGGAAUUGCAUUUGUGACUGCACGGCUAGAGUGUGUCAGAGGGGGGUAGAAUUCCACGUGUAGCAGUGAAAUGCGUAGAGAUGUGGAGGAAUACCGAUGGCGAAGGCAGCCCCCUGGGUUAACACUGACGCUCAUGCACGAAAGCGUGGGGAGCAAACAGG
Molecule: ribosomal RNA, 253 nt
Filed under: uncultured bacterium
Lineage: Bacteria
Description: partial 16S ribosomal RNA
Rfam family: Bacterial small subunit ribosomal RNA
Source: RNAcentral